CAUUUUAUAUAUAUAUAUAUAUAUAUAUUAUGGAUUUGAAAGAAAAUUGAUGAGCAAAAUAAUUGGCCAAGAGAAAAUGAUCUUGUUAAAUAUAAAAAUGUUUAAACACUGUUCUCUAACAGUUUAAACUUUUAGAGUACAACGGCUGUUUCACAUGCUAUCAGAGCAGGAAGUCCUGAGUUCGAGUCACGCCAGGCUCCUAGCAUAUUAAUUUCCUCUCAUUUAAUUCAAGCCCACGUCAUGGGCCGAUUAAAAAGUCUCGAGCCCAGACGUGAGCGGAAGUGUUAAAUAUAAAAAUAUUUAAACACCGUUCUCUAACAGCAACGGUUGUUUCACAGACCUAAAAAGUACUUGUCUAUCAUCUUUAAUUUCUUUUAGUUCAUCAUCCCAAU
RNAcentral lists this long non-coding RNA (392 nucleotides) under Ananas comosus (pineapple). Its description in RNAcentral is "long non-coding RNA (ACOM_LNC033814)". Lineage: Eukaryota; Viridiplantae; Streptophyta; Magnoliopsida; Poales; Bromeliaceae. The record is from RNAcentral.